UAGGGAAUCUUCAGCAAUGGACGAAAGUCUGACCGAGCAACGCCGCGUGAGUGAAGAAGGUUUUCGGAUCGUAAAACUCUGUUGUUAGAGAAGAACAAGGACGUUAGUAACUGAACGUCCCCUGACGGUAUCUAACCAGAAAGCCACGGCUAACUACGUGCCAGCAGCCGCGGUAAUACGUAGGUGGCAAGCGUUGUCCGGAUUUAUUGGGCGUAAAGCGAGCGCAGGCGGUUUCUUAAGUCUGAUGUGAAAGCCCCCGGCUCAACCGGGGAGGGUCAUUGGAAACUGGGAGACUUGAGUGCAGAAGAGGAGAGUGGAAUUCCAUGUGUAGCGGUGAAAUGCGUAGAUAUAUGGAGGAACACCAGUGGCGAAGGCGGCUCUCUGGUCUGUAACUGACGCUGAGGCUCGAAAGCGUGGGGAGCAAACAGG
This 429-nucleotide ribosomal RNA is filed under the name Gemmatimonadota bacterium. Its description in RNAcentral is "Gemmatimonadetes bacterium partial 16S ribosomal RNA". It matches the Rfam family "Bacterial small subunit ribosomal RNA", at positions 355 to 776 of the family's 1533-position model. Lineage: Bacteria; Pseudomonadati; Gemmatimonadota. The record is from RNAcentral.